GACGAACCGUGCGAACGUUGUUCGGAAUCACUGGGCUUAAAGGGCGCGUAGGCGGGUUCUCAAGUCUGGAGUGAAAUCCCACGGCUUAACCGUGGAAGCGCUUUGGAUACUGGGGGAUCUCGAGGGAGGUAGGGGCGUGCGGAACUUCCGGUGGAGCGGUGAAAUGCGUAGAUAUCGGGAGGAACACCUGUGGCGAAAGCGGCUCACUGGACCACAACUGACGCUGAGGCGCGAAAGCUAGGGGAGCAAACAGGG
This 255-nucleotide ribosomal RNA is filed under the name uncultured bacterium. Its description in RNAcentral is "partial 16S ribosomal RNA". It matches the Rfam family "Bacterial small subunit ribosomal RNA", at positions 524 to 777 of the family's 1533-position model. The record is from RNAcentral.